This 76-nucleotide transfer RNA is filed under the name Candidatus Poribacteria bacterium. Its description in RNAcentral is "tRNA-Ala". It matches the Rfam family "tRNA". Rfam says of the family: Transfer RNA (tRNA) molecules are approximately 80 nucleotides in length. Their secondary structure includes four short double-helical elements and three loops (D, anti-codon, and T loops). Lineage: Bacteria; Candidatus Poribacteria. The record is from RNAcentral.
GGGGACAUAGCUCAGUUGGGAGAGCAUCUGCUUUGCACGCAGAAGGUCAAGAGUUCGAAUCUCUUUGUCUCCACCA